UAUCUCUGGGAAAUAAAGGUCGGAUCAGCUGGUGAAAUUUCCAUGGACAGUUUUCAGACUGAGAUGUGAAGGAAGGGAAAAUAUGCUGCGUUUUUGGAGCUCGAUGGUCCUGUUGCUGUUUUGUUUGCAGCGCGUUUGUGCUUCGGGGUCUUCGCGGUGUGAGACUCCUGAAGGGAAAUGUGACUUUGUGUGUGAUUGUUCCGACUGUAGCGACGAGCAAAACUGUGGGUACUCUGGAAAAUCAUUUGAGUGUGACUUUGAGGAUGAAGGAGUGUGUGGAUGGAGGAUUGAAUCUGUUGGUGAGGAAUACAAAUGGCAGCGAGUUCAGAGCGGGGGCGAGCUGCCGGAGAGCGGACCGACUUCGGACUACACCACCGGCACAGCUACAGGCUGGUUCAUGUCAGUGAGUGCAGUGGGGGCAGAGUCUCUUCAGAGUUCAGUUCUAAUCUCUCCGGAGAUAAAGGGCUCUUCGCCGACGUGCCGCCUGCGACUCAGAUACUUCCUGUGGGACUCAGGACUCACGGGUUUAGGUCCAACUCCUCUGUGGGCUUCAAUCCUCCACCAGGACUCUCAGAAGGCCGUUGUGUGGCGCCCCGAGACCUCCAGCGCCCGCAGCUGGAGGGAAGCCACCGUCUUCCUGGGCCGCAUUUCCUCCCCUUUCCGGAUCCAUCUCCACUCGGCGCGCUCGGCGGGACAAAACGGAGACGUAGCCAUAGACCAGCUGGAGUUCCUGGACUGCGCUCUGCCCUCGCUCCCUGCUGGGACCAGCUGCCCAGAGGGGAUGGUGCUGUGUGGUGGUGAAGGCUGCGUGGAGCAGCGGCAGGUCUGCGACGGUACGGACGACUGCGGUGAUGGCAGCGACGAGGCGCCCUGCGAUGAUUACUACCGCUGUGACUUUGAGGAGGAUCUGUGUGACUGGGACCUGAGAUCGUUUUCCAAACUCAAAUGGAUCAGAACAAAUCAGGAGAACAUCUCCAGAACCGAUCCUUGGAAAGGUCCAGGCAGAGAUCACUCCAACAAUACAGCAUCAGGGUAUUUCCUGUACGUCACGGUCCCUGAUGGCGGUCUCACCAUGGACUGGGCGGCUUUUCAGAGCCCACGUCUUCAACCAACCAACAGCUCACAUCCAUGUAAGAUGGUCAUGUACACUCAUCAGUUCGGCCCGCGGUCCGGCGGGCUGACGGUGCUGGUGGCGGACCGGCUCAUCUACCCUGUCUGGGAAAGGGGCGGAGCUUUAGGAGACCUCUGGGUGAAGGCGGAGGUGGAGAUAGUGUCCAACUACACCUUCCAGAUUCUCAUCAUGGCAGCCAUCAGAGACCUGAACUAUGGAGGAAUCGCAGUCGACAGCAUCGUGUUGUCCCCUGAAUGCCGCCGGUCAUCUGAUAAUACCACCCUGGAAAAAUUCCCCAAACCUCCAAAGAAUCCUUGCAUUGAUGAUCCAGAGAAGAUGUGUGAUUUUCAGGCUGACUGCGAUGCUGCAGAGGACGAAGCCAAAUGCGGGGAUUUCUCCUAUCCUGAAGGCAGCUCAGGCUGGACUGACACCAGUAUUGGGAGUCAAGGUUGGCUGCUGGACAAAAGUUCAACAACUGGAGCAGAGUUCCUAUAUGUAGCUGAGGCUGCAGGUCAGCAGCUAACCGAAGCCCAGAUUCGGACUCCCCUCCUGGGCCCCACCGGUCCGGUGUGUAACCUGAGCUUCGACUUUGCGCUCACUGGGAGUUUGGACCACAUCGGUGAGCUUUCUGUCAGAGUGAUCGACAGCUUGUUGGGAGUGAGGCCCAACCUGUGGGAGUUCAGUGGGAAAACAGGAGCAGGGGACGAGGAGGAGACCUGGCAACACGUUGACGUUCCUGUAGGAGUCAGGAAACAUCGCUUCCAGCUGGCAUUUGAAGCUCGUGCUGUGGAGCCUUUUGCUUGGAUCAAAGUGAGGAAUGUUCAGUUCAUCAGCUGCCACGCCGACUACAUUCCAUCUUCACCGACAGGGGCGUCAUGUAUCUUUGAGGACGGACUGUGCGCUUGGUAUCAGGACAACAGUGACAACUUUGACUGGUCUGUGGUUACUGGGAUGGAUCACAGCAUCGGAGUAGGCAUGAGCCUCGUUGUGGACAUGUGGAGUCCUUCGCUGCGUGGAGCGUUUGGGCGCUUGCUUUCAUUCCCACAGCAGCCCACUGCCACAGAGAGCUGCCUGACCUUCUACUACAAACUCUACGGGCCGAACGCAGGUGCUCUGAACGUGAAGCUGACCGACGGCCUCGGAUAUGAGAUUUUACUGUGGACCCGCAGUGGCGCUCACGGCAACGAGUGGCACGAAGCGCACUGCCCAGUACCGCAGCAAAACACAAACUUUCAGUUGAUGUUCGAAGCAGUUCGGUCCGGUUUCGACGGCCAGGUUGCCAUCGACGAUGUGGCGUUUCUGGUCGGCCCGUGCACCAUACCCAGAAAAUGCUCCUUUGAAGGCCAGAAGUGUGGUUACAGCAGUUACGGCGCCAUAAACUGGCUCCACAGAAACGGACACACCACUACGGCGAACGGACCCAAAACAGACCACACUCUGGGGACCGAGCUAGGUUACUACAUGAUGGUCAACACAGACGCAGACGUUCUACCACCAGGUAGCGCCGCUGUCCUCAUCUCCCCCGUCCAACAAGGAACCACCAAACCCGAAUGUGUCAGUUUCUGGUAUCAUAUGACAGAAGGGAACCCAGCCUUCUUUACGGUGUACGUCAAACCCCAGAAGGGAGAGAGAGUCCCGAUCUUCUCUGAGAACCUGAAUGAGGGAGACGACUGGCGUCGCGUCAACGGCAACGUCUCCGUUGGACUUGUGUCGUGGCAGUUGGAGUUCGAGGUCGUCGGAUCAGGAAGUCGAGGUUCCCACGUUGCUGUUGAUGACAUCACAGUCUCGGCUUAUCCAUGUGAAGAUCAAGGGUCCAAGUGCAGUUUGGAGAACGGGAUGUGCAGCUGGAUCAACAUUCAGGACAGAGAACGGGAGAAGCUGGACUGGGAGCUGACCAGUCCGGAGAAGGAAAAGCAUUAUCCAGUCCCACCUCUCGACCACACACUGGGAACAGAGAAAGGUCACUUCCUGUUCUUCCCAAGCAGCAACCGGACAGCAGCCAAUGAAAAGGCCUGGCUGGUGAGCCCUCAACUGCCGCCGAUUAAGCCCAACUGUCUGAGGUUCUGGGCCUACAAGCCCCAGUCAUCGGACUGCCAGCUGAGGGUAUGGAGCCUAUCUGGAGGUAUCAUCUACCAGCAGCUGAUCGUGAACGAACUCAGUGGACCUUGGAGACAGUUUGAACUGAACAUCACGUCUCGUGAGGGAUACCAGAUUGUGUUUGAAGGCAUCAAAGGCACAUCAGGUUUUGUAGCUCUGGAUGACAUCGAGUACACCGUUGGGUUUGACUGCGCCACUAGAGACACAAAACCAACCUCGAAGCCGGACAACGCCGGAGGAAUCGCUGCCUCUGUGAUCGUGGUGGUGCUGCUGAUCGGCACCCUGGUCGCUCUGCUCGUCUUCUACCUGCGAACCAAACCAGAUGCCAACUCUCCAUCGCUCGCUAUCGGCAUUAGUAACGAAGGAUAUGUUCCAGAGGAUCCUGUGACUGUUCCUCCAACACAAAACCAUCCAAUGGCUGCAGGAUUCAACAACGUCUCUCCUCGAAGCCGGACAACGCCGGAGGAAUCGCUGCCUCUGUGAUCGUGGUGGUGCUGCUGAUCGGCACCCUGGUCGCUCUGCUCGUCUUCUACCUGCGAACCAAACCAGAUGCCAACUCUCCAUCGCUCGCUAUCGGCAUUAGUAACGAUGGAUAUGUUCCAGAGGAUCCUGUGACUGUUCCUCCAACACAAAACCAUCCAAUGGCUGCAGGAUUCAACAACGUCUCUAUUUCUGCCGAGGUCAGGAAGAGGGAGGAGGAGGAGUGACACGGGGAGCUUUGCUGCCGCCUAAUGGUGGCUUUGGGAAAUGCAGGUGAUAUAACAGCAGGAGAACUGCUUGUGUCACCCUAAAUGAUCACACCUACAUGUAAACAAACACACAUUUACACAGAAAACACAAAGCCAGAGCGCUGAUUAAUGCAGAUCUGAGGGGAUCCGGACCUCCAGCAUGGGGAAGUCGGAGCGACAUCGUGGCUCUCAGUACCGCUAAGCUGCAUGAAACGGGACUGAAUAAUAAAUCACUGCUGCGUUAGCGGGCGCUGAAGUGGGAACCUUGCAGUUCUGAGCAGAUUUUAGUUUUAGAUUAGAUUUUGAUCCUUUAUUUUUCAAUUUCUCUACCAAAUGCUGACUGGUUUUAGUUUAUUGGACCCGUUUUCUUCACCUCCCUUCUGAUAAAUGACCACAGCUCUGCAAAAACACAAAAUCUGACCAAGUACAUUUCUAGUGCAAAUAUCAUAGUACACUUGAAAUAAGACAAAAUUAACUUACAAAUAACUUUUCAGUAAAAUAUGUGUCACAUAACUUGUGUUUCCAUCAACCACAAAAACAUAAAAACAAAAUAAUUAAACAUUUAACUGAAGCUGGUAGAAAAUAAUCCAAAUGUCAAAGAGCUGUUAGGAGAUAAUGUCAGUUUUCAGGUAGUUUUUUAUAAUUGUCUUCCCAAAUUCUUCAGCUUUAUUAAUAUUUGUGUUCAAAUGAAGAAUGGAGAAGAAAUGAAAAACCUUUAUGUUGACAUGGUCGCCUGUUUCAAACUGAUCAUAAAUAAAGCUAAUUUUAAAGCUCUU
RNA transcript from Xiphophorus couchianus (Monterrey platyfish), 4712 nucleotides. It is a transcript of the gene named MAM domain containing 4, with no coding region annotated. The record is from RefSeq and is a predicted model, not a curated record. Lineage: Eukaryota; Metazoa; Chordata; Actinopteri; Cyprinodontiformes; Poeciliidae. The transcript has 31 exons.